RNAcentral lists this ribosomal RNA (431 nucleotides) under uncultured bacterium. Its description in RNAcentral is "bacterial SSU rRNA". It matches the Rfam family "Bacterial small subunit ribosomal RNA", at positions 29 to 506 of the family's 1533-position model. The record is from RNAcentral.
ACGAACGCUGGCGGCAGGCCUAAAACAUGCAAGUCGAACGCUCUAGCAAUAGAGAGUGGCGCACGGGUGCGUAACACGUGGGAAUAUGCCUUUUGGUACGGAACAACGUCUGGAAACGGACGCUAAUACCGUAUGGUCCCUUCGGGGUAAAGAUUUAUCGCCAAAAGAGUAGCCCGCGCUGGAUUAGCUAGUUGGUGAGGUAAUGGCUCACCAAGGCGACGAUCCAUAGCUGGUCUGAGAGGACGAUCAGCCACACUGGGACUGAGACACGGCCCAGACUCCUACGGGAGGCAGCAGUUAGGAAUAUUGGACAAUGGGGGCAAGCCUGAUCCAGCCAUGCCGCGUGGGUGAUGAAGGCCCUAGGGUUGUAAAGCCCUUUCGGCGGGGAAGAUAAUGACGGUACCCGCAGAAGAAGCCCCGGCUAACUUCGU